RNAcentral lists this ribosomal RNA (438 nucleotides) under uncultured Novosphingobium sp. RNAcentral's name for it is "bacterial SSU rRNA". It matches the Rfam family "Bacterial small subunit ribosomal RNA", at positions 38 to 525 of the family's 1533-position model. The record is from RNAcentral. Lineage: Bacteria; Pseudomonadati; Pseudomonadota; Alphaproteobacteria; Sphingomonadales; Sphingomonadaceae.
GGGGGUGCCCUUAAAAUUGCCAAGUCGAACGAGACCUUCGGGUCUAGUGGCGCACGGGUGCGUAACGCGUGGGAAUUUGCCCUUAGGUUCGGAAUAACUCAGGGAAACUUGAGCUAAUACCGGAUGACUUCGGUCCAAAGAUUUAUCGCCUAAGGAUGAGCCCGCGUAGGAUUAGCUAGUUGGUGAGGUAAAGGCUCACCAAGGCUACGAUCCUUAGCUGGUCUGAGAGGAUGAUCAGCCACACUGGGACUGAGACACGGCCCAGACUCCUACGGGAGGCAGCAGUGGGGAAUAUUGGACAAUGGGCGAAAGCCUGAUCCAGCAAUGCCGCGUGAGUGAUGAAGGCCCUAGGGUUGUAAAGCUCUUUUACCAGGGAUGAUAAUGACAGUACCUGGAGAAUAAGCUCCGGCUAACUCCGUGCCAGCAGCCGCGGUAAUA